GACGAACGCUGGCGGCGUGCUUAACACAUGCAAGUCGAACGGAAAGGCCCUGCUUGCAGGGUACUCGAGUGGCGAACGGGUGAGUAACACGUGGGUGAUCUGCCCUGCACUUCGGGAUAAGCCUGGGAAACUGGGUCUAAUACCGGAUAGGAGCCCUUUUUAGUGUGAUGGUUGGAAAGUUUUUUCGGUGUAGGAUGAGCUCGCGGCCUAUCAGCUUGUUGGUGGGGUAAUGGCCUACCAAGGCGGCGACGGGUAGCCGGCCUGAGAGGGUGGACGGCCACAUUGGGACUGAGAUACGGCCCAGACUCCUACGGGAGGCAGCAGUGGGGAAUAAUGCACAAUGGGCGGAAGCCUGAUGCAGCGACGCCGCGUGGGGGAUGACGGCCUUCGGGUUGUAAACUCCUUUCGCUAGGGACGAAGCUUUUGUGACGGUAACUAGAUAAGAAGCACCGGCUAACUACGUG
Molecule: ribosomal RNA, 464 nt
Filed under: uncultured bacterium
Lineage: Bacteria
Description: partial 16S ribosomal RNA
Rfam family: Bacterial small subunit ribosomal RNA
Source: RNAcentral